RNAcentral lists this ribosomal RNA (489 nucleotides) under uncultured bacterium. Its description in RNAcentral is "partial 16S ribosomal RNA". It matches the Rfam family "Bacterial small subunit ribosomal RNA", at positions 29 to 507 of the family's 1533-position model. The record is from RNAcentral.
AUGAACGCUAGCUCCAGGCUUAACACAUGCCAGUCGAGGGGCAGCAUGGUCUUAGCUUGCUAAGGCCGAUGGCGACCGGCGCACGGGUGAGUAACACGUAUCCAACCUGCCGUCUACUCUUGGACAGCCUUCUGAAAGGAAGAUUAAUACAAGAUGGCAUCAUGAGUCCGCAUGUUCACAUGAUUAAAGGUAUUCCGGUAGACGAUGGGGAUGCGUUCCAUUAGAUAGUAGGCGGGGUAACGGCCCACCUAGUCUUCGAUGGAUAGGGGUUCUGAGAGGAAGGUCCCCCACAUUGGAACUGAGACACGGUCCAAACUCCUACGGGAGGCAGCAGUGAGGAAUAUUGGUCAAUGGGCGAGAGCCUGAACCAGCCAAGUAGCGUGAAGGAUGACUGCCCUAUGGGUUGUAAACUUCUUUUAUAAAGGAAUAAAGUCGGGUAUGGAUACCCGUUUGCAUGUACUUUAUGAAUAAGGAUCGGCUAACUCCGUG